RNAcentral lists this transfer RNA (76 nucleotides) under Candidatus Nitrosocosmicus arcticus. Its description in RNAcentral is "tRNA-Glu". It matches the Rfam family "tRNA". Rfam says of the family: Transfer RNA (tRNA) molecules are approximately 80 nucleotides in length. The record is from RNAcentral. Lineage: Archaea; Thermoproteati; Nitrososphaerota; Nitrososphaeria; Nitrososphaerales; Nitrososphaeraceae.
GUAGUAGUCGCACAGUCCGGCUAAGCAUUUCGCCCUCUCAAGGCGACGAUCCCGGGUUCAAAUCCCGGCCGGAGCA